RNAcentral lists this ribosomal RNA (465 nucleotides) under uncultured bacterium. Its description in RNAcentral is "partial 16S ribosomal RNA". It matches the Rfam family "Bacterial small subunit ribosomal RNA", at positions 28 to 507 of the family's 1533-position model. The record is from RNAcentral.
GACGAACGCUGGCGGCGUGCUUAACACAUGCAAGUCGUACGGUAAGGCCCUUUCUGGGGUACCCGAGUGGCGAACGGGUGAGUAACACGUGAGUAACCUGCCCACAACUUUGGGAUAACGCUAGGAAACUGGUGCUAAUACUGGAUAUGUGCUCCUGCUGCAUGGUGGGGGUUGGAAAGCUCCGGCGGUUGUGGAUGGACUCGCGGCCUAUCAGCUUGUUGGUGGGGUAGUGGCCUACCAAGGCGGCGACGGGUAGCCGGCCUGAGAGGGUGACCGGCCACAUUGGGACUGAGAUACGGCCCAGACUCCUACGGGAGGCAGCAGUGGGGAAUAUUGCACAAUGGGCGCAAGCCUGAUGCAGCAACGCCGCGGGCGGGAUGACGGCCUUCGGGUUGUAAACCGCUUUCAGCAGGGACGAAGCUUUUUGUGACGGUACCUGCAGAAGAAGCACCGGCUAACUACGUG